Molecule: long non-coding RNA, 1650 nt
Filed under: Ananas comosus (pineapple)
Lineage: Eukaryota; Viridiplantae; Streptophyta; Magnoliopsida; Poales; Bromeliaceae
Description: long non-coding RNA (ACOM_LNC035723)
Source: RNAcentral
CAACUAACAAAUAACAUGCCUCGCGAUAUGCAAUAUGAAUAUAUGCAACUAUGCAACUGUAUAAACAACUAGUAGAUAUGUUGAUUCUACGUUUACUUUCUAACUUUAGCUCUUACCUUUAUCACUAGCUUAUAAGGUUUCUAUUAACCUAAUCAAGCUAACCACCUGACUCGGCCUCGAGUCAAUCAUCCGCGGAUAGUCCGCGCACUGGCUGCACAUCAGCCUGGCUGCCGUCACAGCCUACCGCAAAUCUGACUUAACCAUCUGGUGGCGAACUCAUCGCAUCGAACCCAACAACAACUCAAGUCAUGACUUAGCCAUCUGGCGGCGAACUAAUCGCACCUCACCCAACAAUGGUUCAAGACGUGACUUAGUCAUCUGGCAGCGACCACAUCGCUCUUACCCAGCAAGGUUCAAGUCAAUCUAGGCGGCAUCAUCUGAUAAGCUAAUGGGCGAGGAGAACCACACAUACCCAAUUCCAGCUUAUUCUCAUGGCAUCCCGGGCGAGGAGAACCACACAUACCCGUUGAAUCACUGCCAGGCGAGGAGAACCACACAUACCUGCAGUUAGGAUUCGCUUGCCAUCUCUUUUACCACAAUUUCCACCGCUCCAUGUGCGGCCACAUCACUAGGGAUUCCGGAAUCCACUUCAUAUAGCUCAAGGGUUGGUUUCAAACCCUAUAGUAUUGACCUAUCUAGGUCCAAUGUCCUUUUCACCCUAGGUCCAAUUGACUCUAGGUUCAACGUCUCUAUCACAUAACCUAGGUUUACUUAACUCUAGGUUCAAUCCAUAACCUAUGUCCUUUAACACUAGGUUAGAUGCCACUCAUGAUUCAUCCUAGGUUCAACAACACUAGGUUCAUUGUCAUUCAUGUCCAACCUAUGUUUUAUACACUAGGUUAGAUGCCACUCGAUCUAGUUCACAUGACUCUAGAUUCAUUCACAACCUAUGUUCUUUAACACUAGGUUAGGUGCCACUCGAUCUACUUGACAUCCUAUUGUCAUCUCGAGUCUACAUGUACACGAAUCUUAUCCAACAUGCUCAUUAUACACAUAUGUAUUAAUAUGCAUUCACUUACUAGCAUGGUUUCUUACCAUAUUAACAUGCACAUUACAUUUAGCAUUUCUAGACUAUGUCAUCAACAUGCAUUUCAUUCUAUGCAUUAUAUUUACAUGCAUCCUUCUAGUUUACAUGCAUAUAUAUAAUCUUUUAUAUGCAUCUACUUUAGCAUUUACAUCAUAUCAUGCAUUACUAGCAUUACAUUAUUAUCAUGCAUUACUAGCAUUAUGUAACUUGCUCACUAUGCAUUUCUACUUAGCAUUCACAUUAACAUGCAUUGUUUAACACUUAUAUGCAUCAACACGAAUUCUUAAUAUUCUUAGACAUAAGGGCGACCUAGUCGUUUCGGUAAGCACAACCCACCUUAACUUACUCUCCGAUUGCUUGUAGUCACUUGCAAUCGGCCGCCCGCGACACCCGCGACCCGGUUUGGCUCGAACUCUCGCGCGACCACCCAAACGAUCUCCGAUUUGCGAUCCGGAAAUUAAAGGUCUUCGGUUAUGUACCACGGUGCUUCAAAUCCGUUUUCAUGAUUUUACGACAUCACCUCGGCCCUCCAGGCGGAAACGAAGCCUAAACGUCCAUUUCUU